This 172-nucleotide microRNA precursor is filed under the name Pelobates cultripes (western spadefoot toad). The record is from RNAcentral. Lineage: Eukaryota; Metazoa; Chordata; Amphibia; Anura; Pelobatidae.
CAGCAGACACAUUCCAGCCAAUCAGCAGCAGACCCUCCCUCCCAGACCGUCCCACCUCCUGGACAGCAUCUAUUUUAUAUUCAUUGUGAAGCUGCAUUCUUAGUGAGCUGUCCAGGAGAUGGGAGGGUCUGGGAGGGAGGGUCUGCUGCUGAUUGGCUGGAAUAUGUCUGCU